AGUCGAACGAGAACGGAUUAUAGCUUGCUAUAAUUGUCAGCUAAGUGGCGCACGGGUGAGUAAUGUAUAGGUAAUAUGCCUCUUACUAAGGGAUAACAAAUGGAAACGUUUGCUAAUACCUUAUACUCCUUAUUAACAUAAGUUAAUAAGGGAAAGAUUUAUUGGUAAGAGAUUAGCCUGUAUUGUAUCAGUUAGUUGGUGGGGUAAUGGCUUACCAAGACUAUGACACAUAACUGGUUUGAGAGGAUGAUCAGUCACACUGGAACUGAGACACGGUCCAGACUCCUACGGGAGGCAGCAGUGGGGAAUAUUGCACAAUGGACGAAAGUCUGAUGCAGCAACGCCGCGUGGAGGAUGACACAUUUCGGUGCGUAAACUCCUUUUAUAUGAGAAGAUAAUGACGGUAUUAUAUGAAUAAGCACCGGCUAACUCCGUGCCAGCAGCCGCGGUAAUACGGGGGGUGCAAGCGUUACUCGGAAUCACUGGGCGUAAAGAGCAUGUAGGCGGAUUAAUAAGUUUGAAGUGAAAUCCUAUAGCUUAACUAUAGAACUGCUUUGAAAACUGUUAAUCUAGAAUGUGGGAGAGGUAGAUGGAAUUUCUGGUGUAGGGG
RNAcentral lists this ribosomal RNA (610 nucleotides) under uncultured bacterium. Its description in RNAcentral is "bacterial SSU rRNA". It matches the Rfam family "Bacterial small subunit ribosomal RNA", at positions 60 to 681 of the family's 1533-position model. The record is from RNAcentral.